This 916-nucleotide ribosomal RNA is filed under the name uncultured bacterium. Its description in RNAcentral is "bacterial SSU rRNA". It matches the Rfam family "Bacterial small subunit ribosomal RNA", at positions 246 to 1155 of the family's 1533-position model. The record is from RNAcentral.
UUGUUGGUAAGGUAAAGGCUUACCAAGGCUUCGAUCAGUAGCUGGUCUGAGAGGACGGCCAGCCACACUGGGACUGAGACACGGCCCAGACUCCUACGGGAGGCAGCAGUGGGGAAUUUUGGACAAUGGGGGAAACCCUGAUCCAGCCAUGCCGCGUGAGUGAAGAAGGCCUUCAGGUUGUAAAGCUCUUUCAGCCGGAACGAAACGGUUACGGAUAAUACCCGUGACUACUGACGGUACCGGAAGAAGAAGCACCGGCUAACUACGUGCCAGCAGCCGCGGUAAUACGUAGGGUGCGAGCGUUAAUCGGAAUUACUGGGCGUAAAGCGUGCGCAGGUGGUUUUGUAAGUCAGAUGUGAAAGCCCCGGGCUCAACCUGGGAACUGCGUUUGAAACUACAAGACUAGAGUGUGGCAGAGGGGGGUGGAAUUCCGCGUGUAGCAGUGAAAUGCGUAGAGAUGUGGAGGAACACCGAUGGCGAAGGCAGCCCCCUGGGUUAACACUGACACUCAGGCACGAAAGCAUGGGGAGCAAACAGGAUUAGAUACCCUGGUAGUCCAUGCCCUAAACGAUGUCAACUAGUUGUCGGGCCUUUACGGGCUUGGUAACGUAGCUAACGCGUGAAGUUGACCGCCUGGGGAGUACGAUCGCAAGAUUAAAACUCAAAUGAAUUGACGGGGACCCGCACAAGCGGUGGAUUAUGUGGAUUAAUUCGAUGCAACGCGAAAAACCUUACCUACCCUUGACAUGUAUCGAAGCCCGCAGAAAAGCGGGGGUGCCCGAAAGGGAACGAUAACACAGGUGCUGCAUGGCUGUCGUCAGCUCGUGUCGUGAGAUGUUGGGUUAAGUCCCGCAACGAGCGCAACCCUUGUCAUUAAUUGCCAUCAUUUAGUUGGGCACUUUAAUGAGACUGCCGG